AUUUUUUAUCAAUAUAAUAAUUGGAUAACGCCAAAGUAUAACCAAACUACUAACUAAUAUAAUUAUUAUAUUGUAUGUUAUAACUGAGUUUGACUCAAUUUAUAGUGAAGAUGAUCUCUGAUAAUUACUAAAAUUAACUGUGUACAAUUGUUGCUGGUGUUUUAUCGGACAAGCAAAAGAAUUGUUGGGCUUGGGCAGGUUUUGAUUGUAGAGAGUUGCAGUAAUAACUUAAGUAAUUUUUUUUUAAUCCUUUUUA
Molecule: unclassified non-coding RNA, 256 nt
Filed under: Hevea brasiliensis (rubber tree)
Lineage: Eukaryota; Viridiplantae; Streptophyta; Magnoliopsida; Malpighiales; Euphorbiaceae
Source: RNAcentral